ACUCCUGCGGGAGGCAGCAGUGGGGAAUAUUGCACAAUGGGCGCAAGCCUGAUGCAGCCAUGCCGCGUGUAUGAAGAAGGCCUUCGGGUUGUAAAGUACUUUCAGCGGGGAGGAAGGCAAUACGGUUAAUAACCGUGUUGAUUGACGUUACCCGCAGAAGAAGCACCGGCUAACUCCGUGCCAGCAGCCGCGGUAAUACGGAGGGUGCAAGCGUUAAUCGGAAUUACUGGGCGUAAAGCGCACGCAGGCGGUCUGUCAAGUCGGAUGUGAAAUCCCCGGGCUCAACCUGGGAACUGCAUUCGAAACUGGCAGGCUUGAGUCUUGUAGAGGGGGGUAGAAUUCCAGGUGUAGCGGUGAAAUGCGUAGAGAUCUGGAGGAAUACCGGUGGCGAAGGCGGCCCCCUGGACAAAGACUGACGCUCAGGUGCGAAAGCGUGGGGAGCAAACAGGAUUAGAAACCCCAGUAGUCCCAUGA
RNAcentral lists this ribosomal RNA (474 nucleotides) under uncultured organism. Its description in RNAcentral is "partial 16S ribosomal RNA". It matches the Rfam family "Bacterial small subunit ribosomal RNA", at positions 335 to 800 of the family's 1533-position model. The record is from RNAcentral.